AGGACGAACGCUGGCGGCGUGCUUAACACAUGCAAGUCGAGCGGUAAGGCCUUUCGGGGUACACGAGCGGCGAACGGGUGAGUAACACGUGGGUGAUCUGCCCUGCACUCUGGGAUAAGCCUGGGAAACUGGGUCUAAUACCGGAUAUGACCUGCUCUCGCAGUGGGGGUGGGUGGAAAGAUUUAUCGGUGCAGGAUGGGCCCGCGGCCUAUCAGCUUGGUUGGUGGGGUAAUGGCCUA
RNAcentral lists this ribosomal RNA (239 nucleotides) under uncultured soil bacterium. RNAcentral describes it as "partial 16S ribosomal RNA". It matches the Rfam family "Bacterial small subunit ribosomal RNA", at positions 26 to 267 of the family's 1533-position model. The record is from RNAcentral.